AUGGAGUUAAGUUUGCCUCGUACGCUUCGUCUUUUUAAUAUAUUUCGUGAGAAUGAUGGAAAUGAAAAUUGUGCUCAAGUGCUAGAAGAAGAAUGCAUUAGAAUGUUUGGCAAUAAAUAUUUGAAUGAUGAGCAUGAUUGCAAUGUUGUUAGUAUGAAUUCCUUGAAUAUCCAUGAUGCUAAUGAUAUGCAAAGCCACAAGCUUGGGGAUGCUAUGUUUGAUGAAUAUGAUAUUUUCUGUCCCCCAAGUUUUGAUGAGAAUAUUUAUUAUGAUGAAAGCAUGCCUCCUAUUUCUGAUGAUUAUAUUGAUGAAAGUGGGUUUGGAAGAGUGUCAACUUUAGGUAGUAUUGAUCCCACUAUUUUGGAGGAUAUUGAAUCUUAUUUUGAUGAAUAUGAAAGUGGAUUUGGAAGAGUGUCAACUUUAUUUUGUGAUGAUUCCACUAUUUCGGAAGAGGUUCCAAUUGAUUAUGAGAACACGGUUGCUAUCUAUGAUGAUUAUUGUGAUGACUUGUAUGCUAUUAAGAAUAAAAAUAAACAUGAAACUUGUCAUCAUGAUUUUAGUUAUCAAUUGGAUUAUGCCUCACAUGAUAGUUAUUUUGUUGAGUUUUCUCCCACUACCAUUCCGACUGAGAAGAAUUUUGCUUAUGUGGAGAGUAGUAAAUUUUCUAUGCUUGUAGAUAUGAAAAGAAUGCUUUAG
This 696-nucleotide ribosomal RNA is filed under the name Triticum aestivum (bread wheat). RNAcentral describes it as "partial small subunit ribosomal RNA". Lineage: Eukaryota; Viridiplantae; Streptophyta; Magnoliopsida; Poales; Poaceae. The record is from RNAcentral.